Molecule: long non-coding RNA, 307 nt
Filed under: Monodelphis domestica (gray short-tailed opossum)
Lineage: Eukaryota; Metazoa; Chordata; Mammalia; Didelphimorphia; Didelphidae
Description: lncRNA (ENSMODG00000030734.2)
Source: RNAcentral
GUCCCAACAAACUUAUUCACACAGAGGUGCUGGGAAAGACUGUGGGGCAUCUGCUAAGGAAGGGGAUGGUCCCAUUUUAAUGGAAGAAACUACAGAGGGUAGUAGAGGGUACCCCAAGGAUGAGGCUCCAAAGCUGGUGUUUCAGGGCCUCAGACUUAGUUGCACAGGGACCAGAACCGGACCCAGGAUUUCCCUGACACAGAGAACUCCUAGAACAGAGGUGUCAGUCAUGCAGCCCAAGUGAAGAUACAGCCCACAACAUUCCCAAGAAAAUGUAAUCGAGAAAUAAAAAAAUACAAGACAGAUA